This 2515-nucleotide ribosomal RNA is filed under the name Escherichia coli. RNAcentral describes it as "partial 23S ribosomal RNA". It matches the Rfam family "Bacterial large subunit ribosomal RNA", at positions 419 to 2915 of the family's 2925-position model. Lineage: Bacteria; Pseudomonadati; Pseudomonadota; Gammaproteobacteria; Enterobacterales; Enterobacteriaceae. The record is from RNAcentral.
GGGACACGUGGUAUCCUGUCUGAAUAUGGGGGGACCAUCCUCCAAGGCUAAAUACUCCUGACUGACCGAUAGUGAACCAGUACCGUGAGGGAAAGGCGAAAAGAACCCCGGCGAGGGGAGUGAAAAAGAACCUGAAACCGUGUACGUACAAGCAGUGGGAGCACGCUUAGGCGUGUGACUGCGUACCUUUUGUAUAAUGGGUCAGCGACUUAUAUUCUGUAGCAAGGUUAACCGAAUAGGGGAGCCGAAGGGAAACCGAGUCUUAACUGGGCGUUAAGUUGCAGGGUAUAGACCCGAAACCCGGUGAUCUAGCCAUGGGCAGGUUGAAGGUUGGGUAACACUAACUGGAGGACCGAACCGACUAAUGUUGAAAAAUUAGCGGAUGACUUGUGGCUGGGGGUGAAAGGCCAAUCAAACCGGGAGAUAGCUGGUUCUCCCCGAAAGCUAUUUAGGUAGCGCCUCGUGAAUUCAUCUCCGGGGGUAGAGCACUGUUUCGGCAAGGGGGUCAUCCCGACUUACCAACCCGAUGCAAACUGCGAAUACCGGAGAAUGUUAUCACGGGAGACACACGGCGGGUGCUAACGUCCGUCGUGAAGAGGGAAACAACCCAGACCGCCAGCUAAGGUCCCAAAGUCAUGGUUAAGUGGGAAACGAUGUGGGAAGGCCCAGACAGCCAGGAUGUUGGCUUAGAAGCAGCCAUCAUUUAAAGAAAGCGUAAUAGCUCACUGGUCGAGUCGGCCUGCGCGGAAGAUGUAACGGGGCUAAACCAUGCACCGAAGCUGCGGCAGCGACACUAUGUGUUGUUGGGUAGGGGAGCGUUCUGUAAGCCUGUGAAGGUGUGCUGUGAGGCAUGCUGGAGGUAUCAGAAGUGCGAAUGCUGACAUAAGUAACGAUAAAGCGGGUGAAAAGCCCGCUCGCCGGAAGACCAAGGGUUCCUGUCCAACGUUAAUCGGGGCAGGGUGAGUCGACCCCUAAGGCGAGGCCGAAAGGCGUAGUCGAUGGGAAACAGGUUAAUAUUCCUGUACUUGGUGUUACUGCGAAGGGGGGACGGAGAAGGCUAUGUUGGCCGGGCGACGGUUGUCCCGGUUUAAGCGUGUAGGCUGGUUUUCCAGGCAAAUCCGGAAAAUCAAGGCUGAGGCGUGAUGACGAGGCACUACGGUGCUGAAGCAACAAAUGCCCUGCUUCCAGGAAAAGCCUCUAAGCAUCAGGUAACAUCAAAUCGUACCCCAAACCGACACAGGUGGUCAGGUAGAGAAUACCAAGGCGCUUGAGAGAACUCGGGUGAAGGAACUAGGCAAAAUGGUGCCGUAACUUCGGGAGAAGGCACGCUGAUAUGUAGGUGAAGCGACUUGCUCGUGGAGCUGAAAUCAGUCGAAGAUACCAGCUGGCUGCAACUGUUUAUUAAAAACACAGCACUGUGCAAACACGAAAGUGGACGUAUACGGUGUGACGCCUGCCCGGUGCCGGAAGGUUAAUUGAUGGGGUCAGCGCAAGCGAAGCUCUUGAUCGAAGCCCCGGUAAACGGCGGCCGUAACUAUAACGGUCCUAAGGUAGCGAAAUUCCUUGUCGGGUAAGUUCCGACCUGCACGAAUGGCGUAAUGAUGGCCAGGCUGUCUCCACCCGAGACUCAGUGAAAUUGAACUCGCUGUGAAGAUGCAGUGUACCCGCGGCAAGACGGAAAGACCCCGUGAACCUUUACUAUAGCUUGACACUGAACAUUGAGCCUUGAUGUGUAGGAUAGGUGGGAGGCUUUGAAGUGUGGACGCCAGUCUGCAUGGAGCCGACCUUGAAAUACCACCCUUUAAUGUUUGAUGUUCUAACGUUGACCCGUAAUCCGGGUUGCGGACAGUGUCUGGUGGGUAGUUUGACUGGGGCGGUCUCCUCCUAAAGAGUAACGGAGGAGCACGAAGGUUGGCUAAUCCUGGUCGGACAUCAGGAGGUUAGUGCAAUGGCAUAAGCCAGCUUGACUGCGAGCGUGACGGCGCGAGCAGGUGCGAAAGCAGGUCAUAGUGAUCCGGUGGUUCUGAAUGGAAGGGCCAUCGCUCAACGGAUAAAAGGUACUCCGGGGAUAACAGGCUGAUACCGCCCAAGAGUUCAUAUCGACGGCGGUGUUUGGCACCUCGAUGUCGGCUCAUCACAUCCUGGGGCUGAAGUAGGUCCCAAGGGUAUGGCUGUUCGCCAUUUAAAGUGGUACGCGAGCUGGGUUUAGAACGUCGUGAGACAGUUCGGUCCCUAUCUGCCGUGGGCGCUGGAGAACUGAGGGGGGCUGCUCCUAGUACGAGAGGACCGGAGUGGACGCAUCACUGGUGUUCGGGUUGUCAUGCCAAUGGCACUGCCCGGUAGCUAAAUGCGGAAGAGAUAAGUGCUGAAAGCAUCUAAGCACGAAACUUGCCCCGAGAUGAGUUCUCCCUGACUCCUUGAGAGUCCUGAAGGAACGUUGAAGACGACGACGUUGAUAGGCCGGGUGUGUAAGCGCAGCGAUGCGUUGAGCUAACCGGUACUAAUGAACCGUGAG